RNAcentral lists this ribosomal RNA (586 nucleotides) under uncultured bacterium. Its description in RNAcentral is "partial 16S ribosomal RNA". It matches the Rfam family "Bacterial small subunit ribosomal RNA", at positions 355 to 1375 of the family's 1533-position model. The record is from RNAcentral.
UGGGGAAUUUUGGACAAUGGGCGAAAGCCUGAUCCAGCAAUGCCGCGUGUGUGAAGAAGGCCUUCGGGUUGUAAGCACUUUUGUCCGGAAAGAAAUCCUUGGCUCUAAUACAGUCGGGGGAUGACGGUACCGGAAGAAUAAGCACCGGCUAACUACGUGCCAGCAGCCGCGGUAAUACGUAGGGUGCAAGCGUUAAUCGGAAUUACUGGGCGUAAAGCGUGCGCAGGCGGUUUGCUAAGACCGAUGUGAAAUCCCCGGGCUCAACCUGGGAACUGCAUUGGUGACUGGCAGGCUAGAGUAUGGCAGAGGGGGGUAGAAUUCCACGUGUAGCAGUGAAAUGCGUAGAGAUGUGGAGGAAUACCGAUGGCGAAGGCAGCCCCCUGGGCCAAUACUGACGCUCAUGCACGAAAGCGUGGGGAGCAAACAGGAUUAGAUACCCUGGUAGUCCACGCCCUAAAACGAUGUCAACUAGUUGUUGGGGAUUCAUUUCCUUAGUAACGUAGCUAACGCGUGAAGUUGACCGCCUGGGGAGUACGGUCGCAAGAUUAAAACUUCAAAUGAAUUGACGGGGUCAUAGCUGUUUCCU